Molecule: long non-coding RNA, 2128 nt
Organism: Triticum dicoccoides
Lineage: Eukaryota; Viridiplantae; Streptophyta; Magnoliopsida; Poales; Poaceae
Exons: 5
Source: RefSeq, a predicted model, not a curated record
CCCAUCGCCACCAUCGCUCCAGCUCCCUUUUCCCCAUCGCCGCCACCGCUCGUGCUCCCUUUUCCCCAUCGCCGCCACCGCUCCCGCUCCCGCUCCCGGAGGCAGAGAGGGGAGCGAGCGCACGGGCGAAUCGCCGGCGAGGGAGAAAGCUCAGGCUCGGCUCCGGCCGGCUGCGCCGUGCCAUGCGGCAGAGAUGGCGCCCUCCGAGCCGCCCCCGCUCCUCUCCCGCCGGCUCCUGGCCCUGAUUCUUGCUCUCGCCGCCCUCGUUUCCCCCACCUCCACCGCCAGGAAGAUCCCGGCCUUCAUCACCCCGAUCUCGCGGGACCUCUACAGCCCACCUCAUCCCUCCCUCCCCUCACCAUCUCUCCCUCCCCUCCGCCCUCUGCCCCCUGCCUUGAUCUGGGGGAUCCAAUUGACACAACCCCGCCGCCCCCGCACCCCCUGCUUUCCACCAUGGCUGCCUCCUCCUCCUCCGCACCAACCCACCACCCCGCCGUGGGGGCGUUUCCACAUAGAAGGGUAGUGAUGGCCCGUUCCGGCGACUCCUGCCGGCGCGCAGCAUGCUUCCGUGCUCGACUCCCUUCGCUCCGGCCAGAUUCACUGUUCCAGCUCCCUCCCCUCCUCUCCCUCGUGGCCAGGGCUCUAGGGUUUCGGCAUCUUCUUCCGCAGCCUCCUUCUCGCCCACCACCUCUCCCUCCCGGAUCCUACACGCCAUGGACUGCCUCUGCUCGGGACGCCAAGAGUUGCACAUCUCAUGGGGCCACACCUAAACUUGGUCUACGGCUCCAACCAGUGCUCCAUCGACCCCUGCUCAAGCAUCAACCACACAGGAGGAUCUUUGGUUGUCGGCCUUCCCCAUUGGAACCGAGUGGGAAAACAUUGACAAGAUAAAGGAGUUCAACUGGAACUUUCAAAAUUUAGAGAAAGCUCUAGAAGAAGGGGGGGAGCUGUAUGGGAAGACAGUUUACUGCAUAGUGGAUCAGAGUACAUUUGGUGUUCCUCUUAUCUGAAGCUUGCAUACCUUAGAAUCCCUUAUCUGUGAUUCUAUAUCUAGUUUUUCUCUGAAGCAUGCAUACCUUAGAAUCCCUUAUCCUCAAGUCAUGUCUAGUUAGGCCUUUCCACCCCUUGAUAGGUACCAUUGAUUUGGACUGCUGUUUUCCCGAAAUUAUAUGCUGGUUUCAUUUCAUCAGCUAAGUAGAAAGGCUUUCUUUUUGUAAGAGAGGUUCCCAUACAACAUCAGGUAGGGAGAGGUGACAUUUUGGUAGGCCAGGAUACAAGAUACCAGAACUAGCAGUUCUUGCCUUGCUUAUGUUUUGUGAUCUCAGCUUAUCUAAUAAAACUGGCAAUUAUAGGAUACAAGAUACCAUAACUACAUAACUGGGGUCAUUUGAAUUACUGUAGUUGUGCCGUCUGGCUAGUGGGAUAAUAUGGGAGCCACAGCAUGGCAUCAUUCUGUAGGGAGAGGUGACAUUUUGGUAGGCCAGGGCGUGUGCUUGUAUUCAGGCUCAAAAUGCGCCCCAUUUACUUCACCUCUAGAAUAUCUCUUUGCUGGCUUUCUGGAAUAGUAACAUAUGGAUUGUCAUACCUGCUUAAAUCUUAGUCGCUACAUGCUAGUAGGAUAUUAUUUACCAAUUCUAUCUUCUAUGAUUAAAACAAAUCCAUGACAGAGUUGCAGCAAACAGAUUUUACCAGUUCUAUCUUCUGUAUCAAAACAAAUCCACAACAGUUUUCCAAUGACAGUAGCAGCAAACUGAUUUUUAUCAAUUAUAUGUUCUGUGAUUAAAACCAAUUCUACCGAGGUAAACUGCAGAUGCAAAUGCGAUUUUUAUUAAUUAGAUCUUCUGCGAUUAAAACCAUAUUGGGUGACAACUUGCUUCAACUGCAGAUGCCUGCGAUUAAAACAAAAGUUUCAUUCAUCUUAUGGUAUCUUGUUCUCUCUGAUAACUCUUGACUUGCAAGAUACAAUGUUGAUUUAUUAUAUAUACCCGCACAAAAAGUAUAUGGUGUUGUCUUAUUCGGUCUGAACUUUGCAUAUGUUUAUUCAGUUUACAACUAGGAUUAGUUUCAUGUGUUUAUAAGAAUUAUUGAUGCAAACCACUAUGUUUGUGCAUAGCAGGGACGACUCAGA